RNAcentral lists this microRNA precursor (216 nucleotides) under Fragaria vesca subsp. vesca. RNAcentral describes it as "Fragaria vesca miR159c stem-loop (fve-MIR159c)". Its record names the gene fve-MIR159c. It matches the Rfam family "MIR159 microRNA precursor family". Lineage: Eukaryota; Viridiplantae; Streptophyta; Magnoliopsida; Rosales; Rosaceae. The record is from miRBase by way of RNAcentral.
GAGAUACAUGUUAGUUGUGAAAGGAGCUUCCUUCAAUCCAAUUGAGAGGGCUAGACAGUGGUUUGAGCUGUCAAAUCAUGCACUCGGCUCACCCUUAAUCGUCAUGGAAAGUAUGAUGCUAAGGGUUUGCCAGUUGCAUGAUAUGAGAGCAACUCUGCCGCUGCUUGUAUUUCCCAUUGGAUUGAAGGGAGCUCCCUCAUUAACUCAGUGUAGCUU